GAUGAACGCUGGCGGCGUGCCUAAUACAUGCAAGUCGAGCGAACAGAUGAGGAGCUUGCUCCUCUGACGUUAGCGGCGGACGGGUGAGUAACACGUGGAUAACCUACCUAUAAGACUGGGAUAACUUCGGGAAACCGGAGCUAAUACCGGAUAAUAUAUUGAACCGCAUGGUUCAAUAGUGAAAGACGGUUUUGCUGUCACUUAUAGUUGGAUCCGCGCCGCAUUAGCUAGUUGGUAAGGUAACGGCUUACCAAGGCAACGAUGCGUAGCCGACCUGAGAGGGUGAUCGGCCACACUGGAACUGAGACACGGUCCAGACUCCUACGGGAGGCAGCAGUAGGGAAUCUUCCGCAAAGGGCGAAAGCCUGACGGAGCAACGCCGCGUGAGUGAUGAAGGUCUUCGGAUCGUAAAACUCUGUUAUUAGGGAAGAACAAAUGUGUAAGUAACUAUGCACGUCUUGACGGUACCUAAUCAGAAAGCCACGGCUAACUACGUG
This 497-nucleotide ribosomal RNA is filed under the name uncultured bacterium. RNAcentral describes it as "partial 16S ribosomal RNA". It matches the Rfam family "Bacterial small subunit ribosomal RNA", at positions 28 to 507 of the family's 1533-position model. The record is from RNAcentral.